CUCCAUCUCCAUCUCCAGCGCAUCUCCAUGCUAUCGCGCGCCGCCGGCCCCCGACACGCCGCCGCGCACCGCCAACGCCCCUCCGCCGUGCGCCUUCCCCACCCCUGCGGCUUUCCACCACCAGCGACACUUGAUGCCGGCGCCGCACCUUCCCCCAAUCCCUCUCUCUCGCCACGACCCGACGCCGUCGUCCUCCACCACCAGCCCAGCCCCGGCGUGUUCCUUUUCCAGUGACGCUACUCACCUUCCCUCCUCUCUUGGCCGAUGUCCAGUGCUCCGGCGACGGCAAAGACAGUUCCAAACCGCCUGCCUCGCCUCUCAAUCACAGGUGAGCCGACGGGAGCUGGUUCCUUUCCUCCCCGACGCUCUUCUUCACCUGGCCGGAGCACCUGCUCCUCCCAUCACGCACAGAUCGACGGAGCAGUUCGAUGGUCGUUGCCCAGGCUGCGUGCAGUUCAGUGCUGCUCUGCCCCCAUUGACUUCAACCACCAACCCGCGAGGUGCACGCCAUGUGUUUGCUAAAAAGACUCAGAGAAGAGAUGGCUAUUGAUGAAGCCGAGCUUGAGCCUCUAGAAUUUGCCGAGAAAAUGCACACUCAACGGGAAUUACAACAACAGAAACUGGAGAUGUUAGUUCAAAUUAGAAAACACAAUUCCGAGAGCCAAUCUGUCAUACUUGAGACUUUGCAGAGGCAGUUGGAGAGUGCUGAUUUCGAUACCAGUGCAUCAAUAUUCACUCCGGAGCAGAUCCAAGGGAUUGUUGAGAAAUACUCCAGUUCACAUAUUUCAAGAGAUGUGCAGAUGGGGGACAUGAAAGGAACGAAGGAAAGGGAACGGAACGAGCGAAGAAAGGCUGGGCUGGCUCCAAUGGAGCUAGGACGGCGUGGAGUCAGCAGACGGGGGAGCGCAGGCGCUAGGCAGCGAUCACGGGGCUCCACGUCUACCGUCGGGGCGGCAUGCUCGAUCUGCAGAGGACAUGACGAUGACAGGGGUAUGUAUCCCCUUGAAAGAAAAUCAGUUCAUAGAGCCUCUGUUUGGGUUUAUUGUUUCUGAAUUGUUGUCCCUGUUUCAUGUUCACUAGAGAAACAAAAAGGUUACAAAUUCAUCUAAUUUCAAUGAUCAUGAAGAGGGGAACAAGUGAUAUGUAUUCAAAUUUGUGGUCUUUCGUCUGCCCAUGAUCUUUCUGUAGUACAAACAUUCUUUUUCAUAUGCCUGCAACAUUUGCGUUGAAUUUAUAUGAUGUUGCUCCUUAAUUAUUUACACUGAUUGAUGUACAGCAAUAUGAGUGCUGCCCUCUAGAGGAGCAUCAAGCUCUAACACUAUGCGCUUGCUCAAGUAGAUCGAGAGCAUCAACACCCGAAGGAGAUAUGGAGGGAGAGAAAUAAGUCUGACAUGAAUAAGGCCGGUCGGUUUUGCAAGAUUGAAAAUGGUGUAUCAUGGCGCAACAAUCAUGAUAUCGAUCAAAUGGACGAAUCACAUCACAAGAGAUACAAGACCUGUUCCUGAUUUACGAAAGACAAAACUUGACACUGGAGCAGUGAGCAAUACCAACGCUUCGGCUGCCAACACUCUCAUGGAGCUUUCUUGGACGUCAUCAAUUUCUUCAGCUAGGAGACCGAUGAGUUUCCGGAUGAUUAGGUGUGACCUUUCUAUCUCCUUUCUCGCAGUGUCAUUUGAAGCUAGGCAUGCAAGGAUGUCUGCUGCUUGAGCAAGCAUCUGUGGUUCACUUUCAGGAUGAUCUAUGAAGAACUUGCCAAUAUUCCUUAUGGUGUACAUAUUACUAGACACUUGGCACCUGAGCUCCUCGCCGGUCUCACCAGCUGUGCUCACAAGCUUGCGCAAGACUUCUAGUUCUUGGCAUUCUUCACCUCCGCACAGUUUUCUGGAUUAGUCAGGAGGUUGUCGAGAAUAUCCACACCAAGCAAUUUGAGCUCUUUGCUUGCACAGGUUGAAUUGCUGGAACUUCCACUGGUCUUGGUCCUGCGUGCGCUAAGCAGUGAAGAAAUAGAUUGAAAAAUACCAGGAAAGUUCUCGACUUGAAGGCCAGGUGCGAGCUCCAGCAGUAUGCGCGCAGCAUGCCCUCUGGUGUCUUGUUCCACCUCUCUGUCCAAGCCCAUCAUGUAUACUGCUUUCUCGACGGUAUCAAGAGAAGAUCGAAUCUUGACGCAAUGAAGACAUAACAAUGCAAGCAAUGAGUGCGGCUAGCUGCACUUGUCCAAGGACACUUGAGAAGAGGACUGCAAAGCAAGAUCUACCAGAUAUGAAGACACCUUUUAACUCGUGCAAUGCCAGAAGCUUGUCACUUAAGGACUCUGCAGGGCUUGCAUGCCUCCGCCAACUUCCACGCCCGAGGACCGCAAUUUUUUCCGCUUUUAUCAUUGUUUCAGGUAGGCGAAGGAAGAACUGGUCCUCGGCUUUCACAUUGUUAAAAAGCCUGCCAAUUGAAAAACAAAUUAUAUAUGCAAAAUAAAGCCGGGAU
This is an RNA transcript of Triticum dicoccoides, 2478 nucleotides long. RefSeq lists it as uncharacterized. The transcript is spliced from 10 exons. The record is from RefSeq and is a predicted model, not a curated record. Lineage: Eukaryota; Viridiplantae; Streptophyta; Magnoliopsida; Poales; Poaceae.